CUUCCGUAGGUGAACCUGCGGAAGGAUCAUUAAUAAUAGCGGGUCCUCUCGAAUCAUAGGAUGUCUGAACCCUUGAAUACAUAACUUUGUUGCUUUGGCGGGCCGCCUUCGGGCGUCGGCCCACGGCUGACUGUGCCCGCCAGGGGAUCACAACUCUUUGUUUAGUGAUGUCUGAGUAUUAUAAAAUAUUUAAAACUUUCAACAACGGAUCUCUUGGUUCUGGCAUCGAUGAAGAACGCAGCGAAAUGCGAUAAGUAAUGUGAAUUGCAGAAUUCAGUGAAUCAUCGAAUCUUUGAACGCACAUUGCGCCCCUUGGUAUUCCGAGGGGCAUGCCUGUUCGAGCGUCAUUUAAUCACAUCCCGCAAGCGGGGUCUUGGGGCUCGCCUACCUGGCGGCCCUCAAAAUCAGUGGCGGCGCCUUCUGGCUCUAAGCGUAGUAAUUCUCCUCGCUAUAGGGUCCUGGUGGAUGCUUGCCAGCAACCCCCCAUUUUUUAUGAUUGACCUCGGAUCAGGUAGGGAUACCCGCUGAACUUAAGCAUAUCAAUAAGCGGAGGA
Molecule: ribosomal RNA, 554 nt
Filed under: Hyalopeziza sp. TNS-F17879
Lineage: Eukaryota; Fungi; Ascomycota; Leotiomycetes; Helotiales; Hyaloscyphaceae
Description: eukaryotic LSU rRNA
Rfam family: 5.8S ribosomal RNA (bases 194-347)
Source: RNAcentral